Small nuclear RNA from Spea bombifrons (plains spadefoot toad), 106 nucleotides. Lineage: Eukaryota; Metazoa; Chordata; Amphibia; Anura; Pelobatidae. The record is from RefSeq and is a predicted model, not a curated record.
GUCAUAUGGACUAUAACAUAGGUAACAUAUUAUUAUUAUAUACAGAAGACUAUCAUGGCUCCUGUGCAAGGAUGACACGCAGAUUUGUGUGAUAGUCACCAUAAUU